RNAcentral lists this ribosomal RNA (225 nucleotides) under Mischocyttarus sp. 3 MDS-2020. RNAcentral's name for it is "partial small subunit ribosomal RNA". Lineage: Eukaryota; Metazoa; Arthropoda; Insecta; Hymenoptera; Vespidae. The record is from RNAcentral.
UUAUAUCAUUAAAAAAAAAAGAUUUGGCGGUAUUUUUAAGAAUUAGAGGAACUUGUAUAAUAAUUGAUAAUACACGAUAAGAUAAACUUUAUUUUUUAUGUAUUGCUGUUUUAAAAAAAAUAUUAAGUGUAUUUUUUAAUAUUAAUAUAAUAAUAAUUCAAGUCAAAGUGUAGAUUAUUUUAAUUAUGAGUUACAAUUUAAGUAUAAAAUUGGAUUUAAAAGUAA